GGGCCCGUAGCUCAAUUGGCAGAGCUAUCGGCUCAUAACCGAUUGGUCCUCCGUUCGAAUCGGAGCGGGCCCACCA
RNAcentral lists this transfer RNA (76 nucleotides) under Candidatus Niyogiibacteriota bacterium. RNAcentral describes it as "Candidatus Niyogibacteria bacterium tRNA-Ile". It matches the Rfam family "tRNA". Rfam says of the family: Transfer RNA (tRNA) molecules are approximately 80 nucleotides in length. Their secondary structure includes four short double-helical elements and three loops (D, anti-codon, and T loops). Lineage: Bacteria; Candidatus Niyogiibacteriota. The record is from RNAcentral.